This 254-nucleotide unclassified non-coding RNA is filed under the name Hevea brasiliensis (rubber tree). Lineage: Eukaryota; Viridiplantae; Streptophyta; Magnoliopsida; Malpighiales; Euphorbiaceae. The record is from RNAcentral.
ACCAUCCAGGAUUGGGUGAUGAGAGGUGGCCUUUCGUGACUCACUUUGUUGGUUGCAAGCCUUGUGGGAGCUAUGGGGAUUAUCCUGUUGAACAGUGCUUGAGAAGCAUGGAAAGGGCUUUCAAUUUCGCCGAUAACCAGGUGCUUAAUUUAUACGGUUUUGGGCACAGGGGACUAUUGAGCCCCAAGAUCAAGAGGAUCAGGAAUGAGACAGUAACUCCAUUGGAGUAUGUAGACCAGUUUGAUAUUCGCCAU